This 90-nucleotide small RNA is filed under the name Propithecus coquereli (Coquerel's sifaka). RNAcentral's name for it is "Y RNA (ENSPCOG00000011340.1)". Lineage: Eukaryota; Metazoa; Chordata; Mammalia; Primates; Indriidae. The record is from RNAcentral.
AAGGUGGUGAGUUAUCUCACUUGAUUGUUCACAGUCAGUUACAGAUUGAACUCCUUGUUUUACUACAUCCCCCCUCCUCACUACUGCACU